This is a long non-coding RNA of Malania oleifera, 3082 nucleotides long. RefSeq lists it as uncharacterized. Lineage: Eukaryota; Viridiplantae; Streptophyta; Magnoliopsida; Santalales; Ximeniaceae. The transcript is spliced from 5 exons. The record is from RefSeq and is a predicted model, not a curated record.
CUGUCACUGUUACGAAUUCCUCCCGUAUCAUGUAAGCCGGCUCCCCUCUUUCCGUUCUGUGUCCAUGUCGGAGCAGUCCAAGGAGCCGCGGCGUGCCGGUCCUUGGUUUAGCGAUUGCUGGUUGUCCAGCAAGGAGAUCGAAGCUAAGAUUAAUCACUAUUCUCCAUUUCAAUCUUGCCUGUUUCCCCGCCUGCGCUUUCAAUGAUCCCCAAAUUGAAUCUUCCAGCCGGUUCGACUUCAGGGUUGGGCCUUUUUGGUAGGCAUUGCAUUUUGGGGCUUUGAUAAUGGGUGUUCCAGCGGGGGAGGGACGGUUCUGUUUGGUAGGUUUUCUGUCUUUUUUUGGGGGGUGGGUUGGCAAAAAAAUGUGAACCUCCCUUCAGGUUUCAAAAAUCGCACAGACCUCCCUUGACAUUUGAUUUUCAGAACAUUUAUACUUUUUCCAUCAAUUUACUGUCAAGUAGCUGAAUAAAAUUUUAAAAUUUUGAUUAUUAAACACAUGAAAUGGCAUAAGGUUUGCCCUUUUUUUUGGGGUGGGGGAAGGGUUUUAUGUAGCCUUUUGGAUGUUCAGGGGUGGAGGUUGCAAAAAGGGUAAAAUAGUCAAUUUCCUAAAAUUUUAUUUGGCUACUUGAUGGUAAAUUGAUGGAAAGGAUAUAAAUGUCUUGGAAAUCAAAUGUCAAGGCGAUGUCUGUGGGAUUUUUAAAACCUCACGGAAGAUUCAUGUCUUUUUGUCAAACCUUAUUGAAGAUCAAUGUCUUGUCUUUUUCCCUAAAUGAUAUUUUUAUUUGAUUGUUAACAUGAAUGCUUCUGUUCCUUUACUAACAUGUUUUAGUUUAACGCCAGUGAUUAUUGAAUCCUCUCAGGCUAUGGCUCUUCCUGGACAAUCUUGAUCAUAAGUGUGAGAGGGAGAGAGGGAGCACGUGGAGUAAAGUAGUCAAGGGAAUUGGGGAGCUAUUGUGUUUUUAACAUUGUUAUGUUUUUCUUUUUGUUUUUUUUUUUUUGUUUUUUUUUUUGUUUUUGGGUCUACUUGUUUUAAAAAACUAAAUAGGUGAACUUAUGAUAUAUAAUUGUGUUUGAAAGAUGUCUAUAUUUCAUUUUAAAUUAAAAUUACCUCAAUAUUCGCAUUCUAAAAAGAAAAAUAUGCCUAUAUAUGUAUAUAAUAUUUUAUAUUGAUUAAUUAACAUAUCCUGGCUGCAUCAUAUCCUCAUUUUUCCAAAAUUGCCAUAUGGCAAUCAAUAUCGUGCUGUAUCCCAUGUCAGUAAAGCUUCUUAGCUUCAGAUGCAAAUAGUCUAUCUAGUUUAUUAAAGCCUUUGACAAACAUUCAUACACUUUAUUAUGAAACUGAUGUUGAGAUGAUUAUUACAGGGCUUGUGCCAUUUGGGUUGAGCUGAGUUGAGUUUGGAUGUCUACAUUUGUGAAAUUCUCUCUAUUGUUUUAGACUACAUGCACUGUAUCAAAUCUCAUCUUGAAUAAUACAUACAAGGAACUUUGGCAAGCUUAUUCUGGGCUGUUUGUAUCUGUACACACGCCUUUUUUCUGGCCGCUGACGAAAAAGGUUGGUUGGAUGGCCAGUUAGUGGAAGCCCUUCCCUGGUCGGGACCAUAAGAUUCCAAAAAAAAAAUGUAACAGAGGUCAAUAUUAGGGGCUUUUGGCUAAAAAUAUUUGAUAAUGGCUGUGGCCAAAUGACUAUAUAAUUGGGUAGAUAAUUCAUCAAUUUACUGGAAUAUGAAACAAGGAGCAUUCUUUUAAGAUUCAUUAGCAUCUUUGCAUUUUGAGUUCUUGAGGUUUAACUGUGUUCUCUGAGUUCCUCUGCAGAAUUUAUUAUCUGUCGAUGACCCAUUUGUUUGCUUUCUUCUUCAUGAUUUUUUCCCCCUCAGCCAGGUAACCGGCUUGUCAUUUUUGCUGAUUCUACUUUCCAAGGUUUAUUUACUUGUGAAAAAAUCAGUAUGCUAACGAUCAGAAGUUCACAGAAUUUAUCUUCACAGGUAACUGGAGAGGAAGGUAAUGAGGUUUGAACCCUGCUCAAAUGCAUGAUGGGAUGAGCCAUUGGUACUAGGCCAUUGAUAAUGGCUGUGGCCAAAUGACUAUAUAAUUGGGUAGAUAAUUCAUCAAUUUACUGGAAUAUGAAACAAGGAGCAUUCUUUCAAGAUUCAUUAGCAUCUUUGCAUUUUGAGUUCUUGAGGUUUAACUGUGUUCUCUGAGUUCCCCUGCAGAAUUUAUUAUCUGUUGAUGACCCAUUUGUUUGCUUUCUUCUUCAUGAUUUUUUCCCCCUCAGCCAGGUAACCGGCUUGUCAUUUUUGCUGAUUCUACUUUCCAAGGUUUAUUUACUUGUGAAAAAAAUCAGUAUGCUAACGAUCAGAAGUUCACAGAAUAUAUCUUCACAGGUAACUGGAGAGGAAGGUAAUGAGGUUUGAACCCUGCUCAAAUGCAUGAUGGGAUGAGCCAUUGGUACUAGGCCAUUGAUAAUGGCUGUGGCCAAAUGACUAUAUAAUUGGGUAGAUAAUUCAUCAAUUUACUGGAAUAUGAAACAAGGAGCAUUCUUUCAAGAUUCAUUAGCAUCUUUGCAUUUUGAGUUCUUGAGGUUUAACUGUGUUCUCUGAGUUCCCCUGCAGAAUUUAUUAUCUGUUGAUGACCCAUUUGUUUGCUUUCUUCUUCAUGAUUUUUUCCCCCUCAGCCAGGUAACCGGCUUGUCAUUUUUGCUGAUUCUACUUUCCAAGGUUUAUUUACUUGUGAAAAAAUCAGUAUGCUAACGAUCAGAAGUUCACAGAAUUUAUCUUCACAGGUAACUGGAGAGGAAGGUAAUGAGGUUUGAACCCUGCUCAAAUGCAUGAUGGGAUGAGCCAUUGGUACUAGGCCAUCCUUCGUCGUCCUCAUUACUUAAUCUCGGGAUCAUAUAGGAGAACAUUAUUAGAAACAGGAAUCAACCCUCUCGGUCCUGCUUAUGAUUCCCUUGAUAUGGUGAGGACUCCUUAAAAGCAUCUGUUAAUUUGUCUCUUCUUCAAAUGAUUCCCUUGAUAUGGUGAGGACUCCUUAAAAGCAUCUGUUAACCUGUCUCUUCUUCAGUAGGCUGUGUUUUUUUUUUAAA